Molecule: long non-coding RNA, 2242 nt
Organism: Lagopus leucura (white-tailed ptarmigan)
Lineage: Eukaryota; Metazoa; Chordata; Aves; Galliformes; Phasianidae
Exons: 3
Source: RefSeq, a predicted model, not a curated record
UGUAAUUUAGUACAAAUCUCUGGUGGCAACACUGCCUCAAGUAGCCCUGCUGAGGCUGCCAGUCACAGACUCCUUCCCCUGGCACACUGCCCCAGGCCACCAUGGCAGACCACACCAAGGCAUAGCACCGCAGCAAAGUCAAAGCAUUAUAGACUGACUGCAGCCUCCAUUCCGCCGCACCACUCAGAGAGAGAAGAUAGGACAGGGUUGGAUGGGGUGACAGCAUUUGCAGUUUUCUUUUAGCUCUCGCUGCUCUAGUUUGUAAGCAAUACUCAAAUUAUGUUCAUCUCUCUACAUUAAGUCUGUUUUGCCCAUGACAGUAAUUGGUGAGUGACAUCCCUGUCCUUACCUCAACUCAUGAGCCUUUUUCAUCAUAUUUUCAAUGCCAGUUCUUUUUAGGAAUGGGAAUGAGAAAGCAGUAUGGUGGAACUGAGCUGUCGGAGUGACACCACUCAGCUGUGGGCCUUUGUGUAGCCAGGUUGGGCAUGUCACAGGCGAAUCAGACAGCAGUAUCCCAGCAGCUUCAAAACAUCUGCUGGUCUGCAGCCGUGCCAAGGUUUAUGGCGCAGGUGCCGCCCAUGCAAUCAACGUUGCCCUCAGGUCCCUGAGUUACCUAUUCUUUUCUCAAGUCCUCUGUUCUUCUUUAAACACAGCUGUGUGCUCUGUUUUUUACAUUUCUCUUCCCUCCUUCAUUUUCAAUUAUUUACACCUAGAUCUUGACCUCAAAUGUCUCCCUGGAUUGUGACUUUGAGUUACUCCCAUAAGUCCCCCCCAGCUCUUGGUUUCACAAUCAAUAUCACAGCACAUUGGUGCUCACUCAGAACCCCUCCCCGUGCCAAACCAAGCCUUAACUUCCUGCUGGAUCUGGUCCCACACCACAAGCCCUGCUCAAGAACCAGGCAGAGCUGGCAGACCUGUUCGUGCCUUGGUGAGAUGCCUCUGGGUAGCAGGGCCUCAGCAAGAGAUGCUGUGUCAAGCAGAUGGUGCCUGACGCAGGGUGCAGGACACCAUGUGAAGCCAGAGAUGGCUGCUCCAAGAGGAAGUGUCUUGCUGCUGGUCCUGAAGAGACUCCAAGGACUUCACAGGAUAAUCCUGGGCUUUCCUGCUCUUUUCCUGAGGAUGAAGGAUUUGUGCGAGGUGACUGUGAGGUGUGGAGGAAAAGGAAAAUCCCCAAGUGAAAGACAGGGCUUUUGGAAGUCAGAAUAAUCUCGUUUUGCCGGUAAUUCCAAAAAUAACUGAAUGACACUAAGAUGUUUUUGCGACUACUUAAAAUCCUGUUCUUUACACCUCUGUAUGUUUCUUAUUGUUUUCUGGCCUCACAGCUAGAGAUGGCCCACACCAACAGCAUACUGCUGCCCUCUCCCUGCGCUACUCGGCCUCUAUGCCUGCACAGCCUCUACAGUAGUGCCACAAUGCCCCAAGAAAACUCCCUGUCUGGACAGCAGGCUUCAUUGACCCUCUGAAGAUACCUUUCUCUGUUCAGGAAUAAAGCCAAAGCUUGGUGACUACUGGUGGAUGAUCUACAGCUACAGAGAACAGUCUGGAAGCCACCUUCUCAGACCAUGAGGAUGAAUCAUUCCGUGGCUAUCAUGAAUCAGGGCCCUGUGACAAGUGCCCUGAGCUCUUGCAAACAUACAUCAAAAGGGAGCAGCAUGAGGUGAGAAAAUAUUGAAGGCUAUGUGAGAUGCAUCACCAUAACAAGAUCCCUGAAGCAGUCAUCCUCACCUCUCCAAUACCUUUACUUAUCUCUGCUUCAUGGACCCAACCACUCCAGCCCAUGUUCUGCACAACAGGUUCCAUGAUCUUGGGUACCAUCAGCAGGCUGCAGGACUUAUUUUGUGUCUGAGUAUCAGCAAGACUCCAUCUGGAAUUUAAUCCAGCAUAGUAUCUCUGCAAUACCUGAAUACCGCAUGAAGCCUAACACCAAAUAAAGUCAGUGCUCGAGGUGUGAAUUUUCAUGAGGGCCACAGAGAUCGUUCAAUCACACAAUGCAACCUCCUCUGCGACAUAGGCCAAACAUUUCAUUUAGCUAGAGGUCCAAAAUUCUUGGUCAGCUCCAAAAUAGAUGCAGAGAAGAAGAGAAAUAAAGGGUGGCGGCUGCUGCUGCUUGUGGAUGUAGGGGCAUGAGGCAGCUACGGGCAUCUGACAGCAAAUCCCAAGGCACUGAGAAGGUUGAAUGAAAGGAAAGAAAAGAAAGGAAAAGAGAAAAUGAAAGGUAACUGUGUCUAAAAUUGACUCUACU